This 200-nucleotide ribosomal RNA is filed under the name uncultured bacterium. RNAcentral describes it as "partial 16S ribosomal RNA". It matches the Rfam family "Bacterial small subunit ribosomal RNA", at positions 333 to 527 of the family's 1533-position model. The record is from RNAcentral.
AAAAUACGGGAGGCAGCAGUGGGGAAUAUUGGACAAUGGACCAAGAGUCUGAUCCAGCAAUUCUGUGUGCACGAUGAAGUUUUUCGGAAUGUAAAGCACUUUUGGCGGGAACGAAAAGGACCGUGCCAAUACCAUGGUCUGAUGACGGUACCCGCAGAAUAAGCACCGGCUAACUACGUGCCAGCAGCCGCGGUAAUUUU